This 63-nucleotide transfer RNA is filed under the name Camelus bactrianus (Bactrian camel). It matches the Rfam family "tRNA", at positions 5 to 66 of the family's 71-position model. From Rfam's summary of the family: Transfer RNA (tRNA) molecules are approximately 80 nucleotides in length. Lineage: Eukaryota; Metazoa; Chordata; Mammalia; Artiodactyla; Camelidae. The record is from Rfam by way of RNAcentral. RNAcentral also lists the same sequence under 2 other names.
GUAUAGCUCAGUGGUAGAGUGCAUGCCUAGCAUGCACAAGGUCCUGGGUUCCAUCCCCAGUAC